GUGACCCCAGGUCAGGCGGGAUUACC
RNAcentral lists this ribosomal RNA (26 nucleotides) under Kadsura sp. XY-2015. RNAcentral's name for it is "partial 28S ribosomal RNA". Lineage: Eukaryota; Viridiplantae; Streptophyta; Magnoliopsida; Austrobaileyales; Schisandraceae. The record is from RNAcentral.